UGGCGGACGGGUGAGUAAUGUCUGGGAAACUGCCCGAUGGAGGGGGAUAACUACUGGAAACGGUAGCUAAUACCGCAUAACGUCGCAAGACCAAAGAGGGGGACCUUAGGGCCUCUUGCCAUCGGAUGUGCCCAGAUGGGAUUAGCUAGUAGGUGGGGUAAUGGCUCACCUAGGCGACGAUCCCUAGCUGGCCUGAGAGGAUGACCAGCCACACUGGAACUGAGACACGGUCCAG
Molecule: ribosomal RNA, 235 nt
Filed under: uncultured bacterium
Lineage: Bacteria
Description: partial 16S ribosomal RNA
Rfam family: Bacterial small subunit ribosomal RNA
Source: RNAcentral